ACUCUAGUAUUCAUCCCAAUCCACAUGUAUUGAAGUGGAUUGUGGUGUAUGUUAAACUAAUUUACACCCCAAUUCACCUCAAUACAUGUGGAUUGGGAUGAAUACUAAA
Zea mays is the source of this 109-nucleotide non-coding RNA. NCBI's taxonomy places the organism in Eukaryota, Viridiplantae, Streptophyta, Magnoliopsida, Poales, Poaceae. The record is from Rfam.